This 370-nucleotide unclassified non-coding RNA is filed under the name uncultured Gammaproteobacteria bacterium. Its description in RNAcentral is "contains 16S-23S intergenic spacer region". Lineage: Bacteria; Pseudomonadati; Pseudomonadota; Gammaproteobacteria. The record is from RNAcentral.
UCCGGUUUGUCACCGGCAGUCUCAUUAGAGUGCCCUUGCGUAGCAACUAAUGAUAAGGGUUGCGCUCGUUGCGGGACUUAACCCAACAUCUCACGACACGAGCUGACGACGGCCAUGCAGCCCCUGUGUUACGGCUCUCUUUCAAGCACCCCCACAUCUCUGCAGGGUUCCGUACAUGUCAAGGGUAGGUAAGGUUCUUCGCGUUGCAUCGAAUUAAACCACAUGCUCCACCGCUUGUGCGGGCCCCCGUCAAUUCCUUUGAGUUUCAACCUUGCGGUCGUACUCCCCAGGUGGAUCACUUAAUGCUUUCGCUCAGACGCGUACAGUAUAUCGCACACAUCGAGUGAUCAUCGUUUAGGGCGUGGACUAC